Molecule: ribosomal RNA, 417 nt
Filed under: uncultured microorganism
Description: bacterial SSU rRNA
Rfam family: Bacterial small subunit ribosomal RNA
Source: RNAcentral
GAGUUUGAUCCUGGCUCAGAUUGAACGCUGGCGGCAUGCCUUACACAUGCAAGUCGAACGGCAGCAUGAUCUAGCUUGCUAGAUUGAUGGCGAGUGGCGAACGGGUGAGUAAUACAUCGGAACGUGCCCUGUAGUGGGGGAUAACUAGUCGAAAGAUUAGCUAAUACCGCAUACGACCUGAGGGUGAAAGUGGGGGACCGCAAGGCCUCAUGCUAUAGGAGCGGCCGAUGUCUGAUUAGCUAGUUGGUGGGGUAAAGGCCCACCAAGGCGACGAUCAGUAGCUGGUCUGAGAGGACGAUCAGCCACACUGGGACUGAGACACGGCCCAGACUCCUACGGGAGGCAGCAGUGGGGAAUUUUGGACAAUGGGCGAAAGCCUGAUCCAGCAAUGCCGCGUGUGUGAAGAAGGCCUCGGUU